AACGAACGCUGGCGGCGCGCCUAACACAUGCAAGUCGAACGAGAAUCCGGGGCAACCCGGUAGUAAAGUGGCAAACGGGUGAGGAAUACAUGGGUAACCUACCCUUGAGAAGGGAAUAACCCGCCGAAAGGUGAGCUAAUACCCUAUACGCUAUCUUUUUUCGAAAGGAUAGGAAAGCCGGGUCGAGGACCUGGUACGUCAAGGAGGGGCGUCAUGUCCUAUCAGCUUGUUGGUGGGGUAACGGCCUACCAAGGCUACGACGGGUAGCUGGUCUGAGAGGAUGAUCAGCCACACUGGCACUGAGAUACGGGCCAGACUCCUACGGGAGGCAGCAGUGAGGAAUAUUGCGGCAAUGGGCGAAAGCCUGACGCAGCGACGCCGCGUGGGGAGUGAAGGUUUUCGGAUGUAAACCC
This 413-nucleotide ribosomal RNA is filed under the name uncultured bacterium. Its description in RNAcentral is "bacterial SSU rRNA". It matches the Rfam family "Bacterial small subunit ribosomal RNA", at positions 29 to 432 of the family's 1533-position model. The record is from RNAcentral.